RNAcentral lists this transfer RNA (73 nucleotides) under Methanobacteriota archaeon. RNAcentral's name for it is "Euryarchaeota archaeon (marine metagenome) tRNA-Thr". It matches the Rfam family "tRNA". From Rfam's summary of the family: Transfer RNA (tRNA) molecules are approximately 80 nucleotides in length. Lineage: Archaea; Methanobacteriati; Methanobacteriota. The record is from RNAcentral. RNAcentral also lists the same sequence under 2 other names.
GCCUGUGUUGCAUAGCUGGUAGUGCGGCGGAUUUGUAAUCCGCAGGCCGGGGGUUCGAGUCCCCCCGCAGGCU